AAAGGAAGGGCAAAUUUGAGAAGAAAUUGAAAUAAUAAGGGUUUUGGAUGUGAACUUUUGUUCAUUCUAUGUUCUAUUGUUAUAGAAUUUUCUAAUUCAUGGAAAUGUUGUGCAACACUAGUGAAGCUUGGUGGGUUUGGUGCUCAUUGUGGAUACCCAUUUUUAACAUCUGUCUUUUUGUAUCCUUGAUGUAAUUUUGGGUUAUAAUGAAAUUAUGUUAUGGGAU
RNAcentral lists this unclassified non-coding RNA (226 nucleotides) under Hevea brasiliensis (rubber tree). The record is from RNAcentral. Lineage: Eukaryota; Viridiplantae; Streptophyta; Magnoliopsida; Malpighiales; Euphorbiaceae.